CCAUUGGCUUCUUUCUCUUUGCUUUCAGAUGGCUGACAUUGUUACAGAACAAUGGAUUCAAAUUCAGCGGCUUGAGCAGGCUCUUCAUAUUACACAAAACCAAAGGCUCCUCUUGGUUAGCAGAAUUCAAAGGAAUAUGGUUCCAGUCCAGUGACCAUCUAGUAGAU
This is a non-coding RNA of Prunus avium (sweet cherry), 167 nucleotides long. NCBI's taxonomy places the organism in Eukaryota, Viridiplantae, Streptophyta, Magnoliopsida, Rosales, Rosaceae. The record is from RefSeq and is a predicted model, not a curated record.